Molecule: long non-coding RNA, 1064 nt
Organism: Odocoileus virginianus texanus
Lineage: Eukaryota; Metazoa; Chordata; Mammalia; Artiodactyla; Cervidae
Source: RefSeq, a predicted model, not a curated record
UCCAGCCCAGCUCCGCCGUCGCUGUGGUUGAGUCCAUCAGCGUUUCUGUGGAGAGAGCAGAGCCACUGCUGAGCCGCCUGUGAAGCAAGAUCCAGUGUGGUGUGUUUUGGCUGACCCUGUGCUGGCGUACACACAUCGUUUCCUUUGGACUCAUGAGGUGGCCCCUGCAAGUGAAGGCGAGUCCAAGCAGCUCCUCCCACACCCCAGACCACGCCUGCCAACAUCUGAUGGACAUCAGCCUCUCGUUCGAGGGCUGAGGCCUCCAGGGAGCCACUCCUGGUCCGUCUGAUGCCGCUUUCCUGGAAUGCCCUGAUUUCCUCUUUGUUCCUCUUAACCAAGUACUGAAGUUCAAGCUCAGUUUCCCUGGGAACCUGGGUGGGUUCAGAAAGCCAUGCCCUAUUUCCAUCGCCAGCACUUCCCUCCUCCCCAUAACACCCCAGACCUUGCCCCUCUGUUCUCAAAAAUCUACAGAGGGAGAGAAACUCAUGGUCACUGAGACCAGAGAUCCUGUCUAUUAGGAGCCAGAAACCCUCACCAACAUUCUCACAGUGAUGCCAAGAGAUAACGGAUACUGUUCCAUUUCACAGAUGGGAAAACUGAGGUUUACAAAGGCUUAGGGACUUGCUCAAGGUCUCAUAACUAUUUACAAGCUGUGCUGCAGCUACACAGACUGUUUGGUACUCUCUCUUGCACACUGUUUCUCCUGAUCUCUUCCCCUUCCACCCCAUCUGUAAUUUACUUACCCCAAGACCCAGCAGAGGGCCUUGCACUUAGUAGGUCUUCAGUCAAAGGCUGAAUUCCCCUUUCCUCCCCUAAAACUGUAGGGCUUGAACAUGCUAGUGUUCUGCUCCUUCAGGACAAUAUCCAUGACUUCGGCUGUUUCCACCUACAGCCUGUACUAUCAUAUAAUUACAAAAUUUCUUCCGACUCUUUUUUUUUUUCCUUAAGUGCAUUUUAAAGAGGAAAAAGCUAUCAUUAUUACAAAUGGGAAACCAAUAUCACUUGCCAUAAAAGGAAGGAAAACAAGCAUAAGACAAUUACCAUUAAAAAAGUUUGUCUGCAAA